This 500-nucleotide ribosomal RNA is filed under the name uncultured bacterium. RNAcentral's name for it is "bacterial SSU rRNA". It matches the Rfam family "Bacterial small subunit ribosomal RNA", at positions 28 to 505 of the family's 1533-position model. The record is from RNAcentral.
GACGAACGCUGGCGGCGUGCUUAACACAUGCAAGUCGAACGGAGAAUUUAUUUCGGUAAAUUCUUAGUGGCGAACGGGUGAGUAACGCGUGGGCAACCUGCCCUUCAGAUGGGGACAACAUUCCGAAAGGGGUGCUAAUACCGAAUACGAUCACGCUGCCGCAUGGCGGUGUGAUGAAAGAUGGCCUCUAUUUAUAAGCUAUCGCUGAAGGAUGGGCCUGCGUCUGAUUAGCUAGUUGGUGGGGUAACGGCCUACCAAGGCGAUGAUCAGUAGCCGGUCUGAGAGGAUGAACGGCCACAUUGGGACUGAGACACGGCCCAAACUCCUACGGGAGGCAGCAGUGGGGAAUAUUCCGCAAUGGACGAAAGUCUGACGGAGCAACGCCGCGUGAGUGAUGAAGGUUUUCGGACUGUAAAGCUCUGUUGUUUAGGACGAAAGUGCCUGUUGCAAAUAGUUGCAGGUAUUGACGGUACUGAACGAGGAAGCCACGGCUAACUACG